UACAGAGGUCUCAAGCGUUGUUCGGAUUCAUUGGGCGUAAAGGGUGCGUAGGCGGCGCGGUAAGUCGGGUGUGAAAUCUCGGAGCUUAACUCCGAAACUGCAUUCGAUACUACCGUGCUUGAGGACUGGAGAGGAGACUGGAAUUUACGGUGUAGCGGUGAAAUGCGUAGAUAUCGUAAGGAAGACCAGUGGCGAAGGCGGGUCUCUGGACAGUUCCUGACGCUGAGGCACGAAGGUCAGGGGAGCAAACGGG
This 253-nucleotide ribosomal RNA is filed under the name uncultured bacterium. RNAcentral's name for it is "partial 16S ribosomal RNA". It matches the Rfam family "Bacterial small subunit ribosomal RNA", at positions 524 to 776 of the family's 1533-position model. The record is from RNAcentral.